Molecule: small RNA, 7121 nt
Filed under: Rattus norvegicus (Norway rat)
Lineage: Eukaryota; Metazoa; Chordata; Mammalia; Rodentia; Muridae
Description: uncharacterized LOC108348297
Source: RNAcentral
UGAAGAGAAAAAAAUGAACUGGUAUCAAUCUAGGAAAAAUAAAUCUAGUCAUUACAUUAGUCUUGGUUGUUUUGGUGAUAUGAGGUUAACUUUUAAGGUUGUCCAUUCCAACUGACCUGCUGGGAAUUUCAUUGAUAGUAAGUAACUCUAAACAUGUAGCAAGGUUAGGACAAUUGAGAAUAUCCUGAAAGUCUCAUAGGGGGCUACCGUUGAAUUGGGGAAGUAAUUAGUCAAGCUUGUUAAAUCAGCCCUUCUUAACAGCAGCAGUGAUCAGAUACACUGCUCUAUUCUGAGGGCUUACUCCAACAUAUUGUAACAUUCACUUCUUGUUUCUGGAAAUCUGUCCCCCGCAGCUUUACAACCUCCUGUCUUGUGGAUGUUAGAACUCCAUCUGUUUCACCAGCCCACUCAAAGAUUUUCUUAAUUUAAAUGACUGACUUCUGGGUUGUGAAUUAUUUGCAAAAGAACCGAUGAAUACCUUGGGACCUGUCCCUUUCACCCUUUUACCCUCAGCCAUAAUUACCCCAGGUCCACAGACGACUGAGUCUCGUUUCAGACCUACAAUUAUGUGCCAGGCGGGAAAAGGAAAACGUUGCCCGGAUCUACAAUCUAUAUGUUGCUAUGAUACAAACAAACUCGGUCAAUUUUUUUUUCUCCUUUCUGUACAGAAGAUGAAAACUAGAGGGACUGAUUAUUUUCUACCUUAGAUUUUGGCUUAGGAAUUGAAGCAUCACUCAUUUCUAGCAAUAGGCAUGGAUUUUGAAACUGUCAUCUCCCCCUGUCAGGCAAGCACUCACAGGAUGCCCAGACAGCGAGGAGAGAUAACAGGAUUCUGGGAAUCCAAGCGAUCUGCCUGGUCUGGCCUUGAGAAGCAGAAGCACUAUAGUGCCUCAUUAAAUGGUCUUCUCCUUUCCUUUGGGUUUCAUCCAGGACUGCAGAGGCAUCCUGGCUUGUGGAGCAUCGCUCUUCUGCUUGUGGCUGGUGUAAACAGAUCGGAACUUGAUAUACGUGUGCACUCUUUGCCUGAACGUUUUCAUUUCUGGAGUGGUUACAGCUGCUCCCAAUGCUGCUACAAAAUACCUUUUAACCAAGAAGACUGCGGCUUCCCUGCUGUAAGCCACUGUGGAUGGAUGCGUGCUUCAUCGGUUGUGCUCUGACACUGUAGAAAUAGAGACUCAACAGCAAAUGCUUCUUCCCUUUGAUUCCAUUAUAGGCUGCUGUACCAACUCACAGCUGGAAACAAAUUAAAGUCGUUUUAUUUUCUGAUAAUACAAGGAAAGUGGUUUCCAAGGAAAGGUCCUAUUAUAAUCAUUCAGGAUGUUUUCCCUUGCAGGAAUAUGUGUCUGCCUUGGCUAAAUUAGAUUGGUUUGCAUUUAAAUGUUGAUAACUAAGAGAGUUCUUACAUGACUGAAGUUUUGCAAGGUGUUGCAUUUGGGCAGUUAUAUGUCAUUGCCACCUGGUAGGUCCCGCUUCAUGUAAUCGUUGGUUGUGUGUUUCCUUUUCUUCCAAAUUGUGGGAAUAUUUCAAAAUCAAAUUGCUGGCCCAUUUAUUUUAGAAUUAUUCUUGUUUAUAUUAAGAUAUUGGCCUUUAGUUUCUUUUGUGCUUCUGCAUGCAUUUUUCUUUUUGGAAAAAAAAAUGAACAUUCUUAGUCUCUCUGGAUGUCAAGUUUCUUUCUCUAACUUUUAAAAUUAUCUGUGAAUCUCUCUCCACGUAUGCCUGAAAUACAAUCAGAUAAGGCAAACACUUCACACACCCAAGGGAACUGAAGGCCUUUCCAUCAGAUGAGUAUGUCUGUGAGGUGUUUUCCUUUCUUUAAAUUAGAACAAAACCCGAAAAAUGGGCCUCAAGACAAGACCCACAAUGCCUUUGGCUACCUUUAUUAGUUUAAGCACCUUGCUGACAUUUGAUAGCAAAACACACAAACAGCCGUCUGUGUCCUUUCUUCCUGUCUUGCAUUUGCCCUUUAGCUAAUGGCUUUAAUUUUUAUUCUUCUAAGAAAGAUUGCUUGAAUUACAAAGUAGAGACCAAGUCAUUUCUCUCUUCUUCUUUUUCUUAGUGAAGUCACAGUAAGAGAGAAUCAGUUAAAAAGACAGCUCAGAAUUUUUUAAAAGAAUUUCAAUUGUUUAAAAAAGGCAAAACAUUAUCCUCUACAACCAUAUUAACCAUGGGCUUGGGCUAGACUUCUCAAAAAUAGCAUGGUCUUUCUCCACCUAUUGCUGUUUUCAACAAAUGAUCAUAGGUAAUAGCUGAGGAAACUAAGAACGUACAAGCAUAAAGUAUACCAGUAUUCCACCCUGCCAUAGUUUUAACAUACAUAUACAUAAAUAUAAUGUAUAAUAUAUAUAAAUAUAAAAUCAAGGAUGUCACACUGAGACCCAAAAAUAUUGUGCAAAUGUGUGUCACCUAUCCUUUGUCUCUCUGGCCACAUUUACUGUCAGCUUUGCAAAUGCAGAAUAUCUCCAUUGAACGUGUCACAGCUUUCCCCAUUGCUACUACUCUCUGCCAAUUUCGAGAUGUGCAUGCUUGUCUUAGGGUUUCCAUUGCUCGGAGGAGACACUGGGGCCACAGACAUCAUCAAAAAGCACAGUAUUUAAUUGGAGGAUGGCCUAACAUUCAUAGCUUUUGUCCAUUUUCAACAUGUUGGGAAGUGUGGUGGUGUGCAGGCAGACACAGUGUUGGAGAGACAGUUGAGGGAUUUACAUCCAGAUCCAAAGGCAGCAGGAAGAGAGGAAGACCCUAGGUCUGGCUUGACCUUCUGAAACCUCAAAGCCCACCCUUUCCCUACGAUACACUUCUUCCACAAGGCCAUACUUACUUCACAAAGGCCAUGCUUCCAAUAAUGCCACUCCCUAUGUGUCUGUGCGGGGUGGGAAUUUUCAUUCAAAGCACCACAAAGCCCAAACACCAGUUAUAUAUCCUUGGGUAUUCAUUUCCUUACAAAAGGUUCAAGGUCAUACAGAACAUAAAAGAAAUGCAUUUGUAUGUUUUCUGCUGUUGAAAAUUUAGUUCUCAGAAAUAAAUUUAAAAAUAGAACAACUCUCUGAGGGCAUAAGUAAGAUUUGCCUCUCUUAUAUGUUGCAUAUACAAAGGCAUACUAAAUGUUUUAGUUGAUCAAUUAAUUCAAAACUUGAAGUCAUAUAUUUCAGAUGUCUUGGCAGGAUUAAGGGUUUACUACGUGUCUGUGGGUGUCCUGUGCAUCUGUUAGAUCAUUUCUGAACUUUUAAUUUGAACAUUUUUGUUCCUCUCAUACCACAAGAAUGUUCUUUUUGAGAUGGGACUGUUAUUUGAAAGUUUGAUAUUUGUACCUUAAAGAAUCAUGAAUUGGGAUAUCAGCUAAUUCAUAAGAAAGUAAAAAAAGGGGGAGCUCACUGACAUUUUGUUAACUUUUCAUUAGUUCAUUUAAAAGCAAAAUUAGUCCUAGAGUAACAAAUAAUAUGUAGAAACCAAUUCUCUUCAUAUGUUGAUUUUAGUUUUGAGUUACAUAGAUUCCAUUCAGCUAGCAGUAGCCAUAUGUUAUGCCACUUAACAGCUUAGGAGAAUGAUUGCUGGUCAUGACUAGAGUUCAUAUCUCAUUAUUCUUUGGCUCUAGUUUCAAACAGGGCCAUGUUAAAAAUUCCUAGUUGAUGGUUGAUCAGUGACCCAAUGAAGUGAGUUGUUGAAAUAUCAUUGCAGUUCAUAGGAGCCACCUGUGUGAUUCGUGAUGUGAUUGCAUGCAACAUUCUUGCUGACAACGUCAGACAGGGUCCAAUGGUUAAUGGUCCAUGGAGAAUUAACUACUCAUAUCCCCAAAGGUCCAUUUUGUAGGGAAGGUAUGAUGCCCAGUGACAAAGCUUGCAACUCCAUCGCCUCUCCAGUGUGGCUUGCAGUAUUAUUUCUAGCUUCCUAUAUUCCAGACUGUUUUGAUUGAUUUCUCAGUUUUGUCCAAGUAUGUACUAUGACAUAAUGAUUCAGAUACUCUUGUUUUUAUAUUAUGUAAAUACAGACUUGUACUUCCUUCACCCAAUAUCUAUAAGUGGAGCAGUGUCUGAAACAUAGCAUUCUUUAGUAACAAAUUUAUUAAUCAUAUAUCCAGAGAUGUAAUAUAUGUAUGAACAUAACCACAAUUUAGAAAGUAUACCUAAGACAAAUUAAAAUCUGUCUUCUUUUAGAAAAACCUUUCAGCAGUCACAAUGCCUAUUAUUAAUAUUAUUAUUAGUUAACACUUACUUGUCAUAAUUUAGAUGGUAAGAACCUUUCAAUUACAAUGUUCAGUAUGAGAUAAAGGUUUUCACUCUCAAUCUUUUUGUGCAGCUGCUUUAAAACUUUUUUAUACAGGGGAAACUUAUGACAAUUGGAAUUAUUAAAAUUCCCUUCAGGUGGAAACAAAUGGAUACAAAGUAAAAUGGCAAAUUUUGGGAGUGUGAAACUGAUGUGGGGCACAUAGACAAAAUGCUAAAGUUUAUUUGACGCAGACGAUUUUGAGGCUCUAGCAUACUGGAAGCAAACACAUUAAACCUGCAUGCAAGAAUAUUACAUAGCUGAGCAUGGCGACGUGUGAGGAGUAAAGGAGAUCUGGGUAAUCUGGGCAAUACGUUAGAUUGUCUGAGAUAUCGGUUGUUAGCUGACUCUCUGAGAGGAAUCUUGUGAGUUAUGCCUAAGUGAUGAGACUUGGGAAAAUAUUGUGAGAAAAAUAUCGUGCCUCAGGUUUCCACUGCUCUAAUAAAUGCCCGAGAUAAGCAGUCUAUAACUGCACGCAGUUUACCUUGCUGGACAGUCUUAUCUCAUGGUCAUUUGUUCUAAUUGCUUUCUGUGUGUGUUAAGUCAGCAGUGUGAGGGAAGCUUUUGUCAGAACCAGCCUUUCCUGUCAUAGCAGGAAGCAAAACACAGCACAGCAAAAACGGGGCUCUGACAAUCCCCUUUGAGGCCACAGCUCUGCUCGUGUAAAAUACCCAACAAGGUCACAUAUCUUAAAAUAUUUCAUUGCAUCCUAAGAAUGAGAGUCUGUUUAAAAUGAUUUACUGUAUCUGACUUUGGAAAAGUUUCAACUUUGAACGAUGGUGGCUUCUACAGCAAGUAAGAAAGAAACAAGUUUGGCAGCCCUGGGUAGGAAGGGGUAAGACUGGAGAGUAUAUCAAGGGGUUAGAAGUAAAAAAAAUACUGGAAAGAAAGAAAUUAGACACUAGAAAGAAUCCAGCUCAAAUAUGCAUCAAAUUGUGUGUGAGGACUGUGUCCACCCCAAAGCUAGUGAAUGCCAAAGAAGUAGCUCACAUCUGGGCUGAGUCACGAGUCAUACAUAGCCCUGCUGAGAGCUAGCAUUGCACAGCUAAGAGAUCAUGUCCUACUUCAGACUUACGCCUAUAAGAUAAGAUAUUACACAAGUGGUCUCUACAGUUUAUUAAACUAAAAAAUAUUCUCUAUCUAUUUUCAAGAUUAUUGAAAUAUUCUCAUUUUUGUUUCAGAGAUACGGUCUUACCAAAAUACCAGCCUGGCCCUAAACUCAACAGUCAUCCUGCCCCAUAUUCUUGAGUGCUAAUGUUAUAGACAUUCAACCCAAUGUUUGAUUCUUCAUGUAUUUUGAGGAAGAGACAGUUGGAAUAUAAAUCUUCUGGUAUUGCCCAAGCUUUCAUUUCAUGAACUUUCAAAAGGGAUUGAUAAAUAUCAGUUUUGUUUAUAUUUAUGUAUUUAACAGGGGAACCAAGGAUCACAUGAAUAUCAAGCAUCCAAUGGCAUGUUCAGAGUUAAAUAAAGGUGUCAAUCAUCCAAUGAUGUGUUCAGAAUUAAAUAAAGGUGUCAAUCAUCCAAUGACAUGUUCAGAGUUAAAUAAAGAUGUGCCAUUUGCAUGUUUCCUGACUCCCAAUGGUUGGAAUCAACCUCCAAACGAUUAAUCACUUAGCUAAGGUUUAAAGUCUCUAUAAAUGUGCCUAAUAUAUAAAAAUAAAAUUAAUUUUGAUUCAUGUAGCAGCUUAUAAGCAAAUAUAAUUUACUUUAGAAUUUUACUGUGGCAAGUCAUAAAAUGAAAACAUAAAGAGGGCAACUGUAGAUUUUCCAAUAAAUUGAGACUGUUAUUGCCAUGAAAAUACCAAGCUGUAUAUUCCUUGGCUGAGAAAAAGAUAGUUAACAGAACACCAUGAUUUCAUUUCUGCUCACAUUGAUGAUUUUAAUUGAUUUCCUUGUGUAUUGAAAUAAUUAGGAAAAUUUUCUCAGAAGCAAGUGAUUGGUUUUAGAAGACAUAAAGCAUUGCUUAGAAUGUUCUUGGGUGUAUUGCUAUUGAAGUCGAGUCUCUACCAUGGAUCUCUUGAGAUUAUUCUAACAAUAUGAAAUGUGACCGAAACUGAGAGAAGUUACCCGAAGGCAUUUUUGUUUUAUACUUGAAUUUUAUUUUGUCAUUUGUUCUUAUUAGCAACCAUUAAGCAAUUUCAUAAUUAUAAGCUCUAUUAACAUUUUAAUGAGUCUAGUGGCCAUUGCUAAAUGUAAUUAAAUUAGUUUUAUUUUAUGACAUUUUCAAACUGUGAUUAAAUUAAUAGUUGUUGUGCUUAGAAGAAUAAAACCAAGGAGAGACUGCUAUUCGCCAAACUGAAGCAAAAAGAAAGUUGACCAUUGAGUUAAUUCACAAGAUAAACCUUUAAUUGCUAAGUUUGAAAACAGUGUAGUGAUAAUGGUAACAUUUUACUCAUAAAUCAGUUUUCAGGUAAACAAUGAGAAAAGUAAAACUAAGUAGGUUCUUCAGGUCCUGUCGCUUCCCUUGUACCUGCAGGCUGUCGCUCACUGAGAUGGAAGAAACUGAACCUGUUGAGCCACUGACUUUGUCAUAGAUACGCAAUAACUUGGAACUGGUGGUGAAUAUAGAUUCUGCUCAAGAAAACAACAGCUGGUGAUGCAGUUAAAUUCUUCUGAAGUCUAGAGUUUCUGUAAGUAUUAAUCACUUUUUAUUUAUUUUUCUAUGAUCGGUAAGCAUUUUAAGAACUAUUUUACCUUAAUAUCUUAAAAUUGGUGGAAAUUCCUUGGUCGUUUUUCAAAUCACCAUAUAGAUGUGUUCCCUGAGUAUGGGUAUUAAUAAGUUAACCCUCUAAGAAUUCUGUGACAAUCAAAUUCAAAAAAAUUUUGACAAUAUAAUUUGUAUUCACAAUAAUUACAAAUUAACA